GAUGAACGCUGGCGGCGUGCCUAAUACAUGCAAGUCGAGCGAACGGACGAGAAGCUUGCUUCUCUGAUGUUAGCGGCGGACGGGUGAGUAACACGUGGAUAACCUACCUAUAAGACUGGGAUAACUUCGGGAAACCGGAGCUAAUACCGGAUAAUAUUUUGAACCGCAUGGUUCAAAAGUAAAAGACGGUCUUGCUGUCACUUAUAGAUGGAUCCGCGCUGCAUUAGCUAGUUGGUAAGGCAACGGCUUACCAAGGCAACGAUGCAUAGCCGACCUGAGAGGGUGAUCGGCCACACUGGAACUGAGACACGGUCCAGACUCCUACGGGAGGCAGCAGUAGGGAAUCUUCCGCAAUGGGCGAAAGCCUGACGGAGCAACGCCGCGUGAGUGAUGAAGGUCUUCGGAUCGUAAAACUCUGUUAUUAGGGAAGAACAUAUGUGUAAGUAACUGUGCACAUCUUGACGGUACCUAAUCAGAAAGCCACGGCUAACUACGUG
RNAcentral lists this ribosomal RNA (497 nucleotides) under uncultured bacterium. RNAcentral describes it as "partial 16S ribosomal RNA". It matches the Rfam family "Bacterial small subunit ribosomal RNA", at positions 28 to 507 of the family's 1533-position model. The record is from RNAcentral.